CCCUUAGAUGUUCUGGGCUGCACGCGCGCUACACUGAUACUUUCAGCGAGUCCACCACCUUGCCUGAGAGGGUGGGGUAACCUCUGGAAAGUGUAUCGUGAUGGGGAUCGAUUAUUGUAAUUAUUAAUCUUCAACGAGGAAUUCCUAGUAAGCAUGUGUCAUCAGCCCGUGCUGAUUACGUCCCUGCCCUUUGUACACACCGCCCGUCGCUCCUACCGAUUGAAUGUUCCGGUGAGCUCUUCGGACUGCGCGGUCUGCAGUUUCUGCGUUCCGUGCGGAAAGUUGCGCAAACCUUAACAUUUAGAGGAAGGAGAAGUCGUAACA
RNAcentral lists this ribosomal RNA (324 nucleotides) under uncultured eukaryote. RNAcentral's name for it is "partial 18S ribosomal RNA". It matches the Rfam family "Eukaryotic small subunit ribosomal RNA", at positions 1470 to 1796 of the family's 1831-position model. The record is from RNAcentral.